Non-coding RNA from Cordylochernes scorpioides, 786 nucleotides. The record is from the annotation of a GenBank genome assembly. NCBI's taxonomy places the organism in Eukaryota, Metazoa, Arthropoda, Arachnida, Pseudoscorpiones, Chernetidae.
CUUUUUCAAAAAUCUCUUUUUUUUUUCACUCUCGAUAGGUGAAAUAAAUUUUCAUGUGUUCAGAUGUUUUUACAAUUGCUAUUGAGGAAUACAGAGCAAUUCUUGAUUUCCUCGUGGACUGAUUCAACGAGCAGCCUGCUGUUCUUUGAGCCGGGAAGAUGAUCAAACUUGGCCAUUUAGAGGAAGUAAAAGUCGUCGUCUUGCUUUCUUCGCAGCCGAUCUCUGUAAGCCAGCCAGUCGAGGUUGUCCCAAACGAGACAAGUGUCCAGACGAAUGGUGACAGAGCACACGACUGUCAAUUGCUGACAUUUCUAUUCUCGGCGACAGCUAAGAUUAGGUCUUCUGAUUGAAACGUCUGCCACCAAACUAACAGACAAAAUGUCACCUUUUACUCUUGAGUUUAUUCCAACAUGCUAUAACGUUUGGGUGUCAGACACAAUAUCUUCAUAAUGCAAACGUAUAGAGUGGACCAUUUAUUUCGAAUGAUCAAGAUAUUGUAUCAAAAACUAUUUUAGUCGUAAAAUAUAUAUCAAAAGAAUUGUUGAUAUUUAUUCCGAUAGAUGGGGUUGAUCAUUUUCAACUUGCAGUAUAUUUCCCUAUAUAUAUAAAAGUCAGUGUAUGUAUGUGGGUAUCUAUGUCGGCUAUACACGUCCACAAUACGUAACAAAUCUGGCUGAAAUUUUAACAGUAUAUAGAGUUGAAUCUGGAAAAACUUAAAGGCAAAUUUUCAGGCUUCUAUCUCGAAUACCCUUGGAGUUAUUAACAAAUUAGUAACGAAUUUUCCCU